GACAGACUCCUACGGGAGGCAGCAGUGAGGAAUAUUGGUCAAUGGGCGGAAGCCUGAACUAGCCAAGUCGCGUGAGGGAAGAAGGCCCUGCGGGUCGCAGACCUCUUUGGACGGGGAGCAAGGCCGCCGACGUGUCGGCGGAAGGAGAGUACCCGUAGAACAAGCAUCGGCUAACUCCGUGCCAGCAGCCGCGGUAAUACGUAGGGGGCAAGCGUUAUCCGGAUUUACUGGGUGUAAAGGGGGCGCAGACGGCAGUGCGAGUCUGGAGUGAAAGCCCGUGGCUUAACCACGGGACUGCUCUGGAAACUGUGCAGCUAGAGUGCAGGAGAGGCAGGCGGAAUUCCUAGUGUAGCGGUGAAAUGCGUAGAUAUUAGGAGGAACACCGGUGGCGAAGGCGGCCUGCUGGACAGCAACUGACGGUGAGGCGCGAAAGCGUGGGGAGCAAACAGGAUUAGAUACCCCCGUAGAC
RNAcentral lists this ribosomal RNA (469 nucleotides) under uncultured bacterium. Its description in RNAcentral is "partial 16S ribosomal RNA". It matches the Rfam family "Bacterial small subunit ribosomal RNA", at positions 330 to 795 of the family's 1533-position model. The record is from RNAcentral.